Molecule: ribosomal RNA, 496 nt
Filed under: uncultured bacterium
Lineage: Bacteria
Description: partial 16S ribosomal RNA
Rfam family: Bacterial small subunit ribosomal RNA
Source: RNAcentral
GAUGAACGCAGGCGGCGUGCUUAACACAUGCAAGUCGAACGGAGUUUACUUAACAGAUUUCUUCGGAAUGAUGUUUUUAAACUUAGUGGCGGACGGGUGAGUAACGCGUGGGUAACCUGCCUUACACAGGGGGAUAGCAGUUGGAAACGACUGGUAAUACCGCAUACCUUACAUUAUUCGCAUGUUUGAUGUAAGAAAGAUUUUAUCGGUGUAAGAUGGACCCGCGUCUGAUUAGCUAGUUGGUGUGGUAACGGCAUACCAAGGCGACGAUCAGUAGCCGGCCUGAGAGGGUGAACGGCCACAUUGGGACUGAAAUACGGCCCAGACUCCUACGGGAGGCAGCAGUGGGGAAUAUUGCACAAUGGAGGCAACUCUGAUGCAGCGACGCCGCGUGAGUGAAGAAGUAUUUCGGUAUGUAAAGCUCUAUCAGUAGGGAAGAUAAUGACGGUACCUACAGAAGAAGCCCCGGCUAAAUACGUGCCAGCCGCCGCGGUAA